Molecule: long non-coding RNA, 262 nt
Filed under: Homo sapiens (human)
Lineage: Eukaryota; Metazoa; Chordata; Mammalia; Primates; Hominidae
Description: HSALNT0049000
Source: RNAcentral
CUCAGUCAUCUCCAUUGCAGGGCCAGCCACAGCUCUUACAGGACAGCUGUAAGAACAAGAGUUCUGGGAGGCUUUCAAUUACACCCAUCUCCAAGUGGAACUCUCCAGGCUAAGAGGAUGAUGACCACCAGCAGCCUGACUGUGCCGUGAGCAUCUGCAGCUGGCCAGGGCCUCAGGGAGGCUGUGGGAAGGUGGAGAGAGAGGCAGCCCAGCCGGCAGCUGGGCGAAGAGCCUCCCAGCACAGAUCUCUUUUUAUCAGCGC